Molecule: ribosomal RNA, 468 nt
Filed under: uncultured Sphingobacteriales bacterium
Lineage: Bacteria; Pseudomonadati; Bacteroidota; Sphingobacteriia; Sphingobacteriales
Description: bacterial SSU rRNA
Rfam family: Bacterial small subunit ribosomal RNA
Source: RNAcentral
GACGGGGCCCGCACAAGCGGAGGAACAUGUGGUUAAUUCGAUGAUACGCGAGGAACCUUACCUGGGCUUAAAUGUGCUUUGCCGGUCUUGGAAACAGGACUUUCCGCAAGGACGAAGUACAAGGUGCUGCAUGGUUGUCGUCAGCUCGUGCCGUGAGGUGUCGGGUUAAGUCCCAUAACGAGCGCAACCCCUACUGUCAGUUGCUAACAGGUCAUGCUGAGGACUCUGGCGGGACUGCCACCGUAAGGUGCGAGGAAGGCGGGGAUGACGUCAAAUCAGCACGGCCCUUAUGUCCAGGGCUACACACGUGUUACAAUGGGCGGUACAAAGGGCUGCGAACCCGCGAGGGGGAGCGAAUCCCAAAAAGCCGCUCUCAGUUCGGAUUGCAGGCUGCAACUCGCCUGCAUGAAGCCGGAAUCGCUAGUAAUCGCGGAUCAGCAUGCCGCGGUGAAUACGUUCCCGGGCCUU